This 1032-nucleotide long non-coding RNA is filed under the name Lupinus mutabilis. Its description in RNAcentral is "partial ncRNA". Lineage: Eukaryota; Viridiplantae; Streptophyta; Magnoliopsida; Fabales; Fabaceae. The record is from RNAcentral.
CUUCACAAUAUUAUUAGAGAGAGAAAUGAGAGAGCUUAUCCAGAAUGCAACGAAAUCCAUUAUUUAGUGUUAUUUUUAUUAGUCGAGUGUGAAGUUCUAUAAAGGGUUGGAAGGUGUUUGUUGAGUUUAGUAACAAAAAGAAAAGAAAGAAUAGUAAGAGCAAGUCCAACAUGGCAACGAGCAAAAGCCACCACAUUUCUACACCUAACUACCGUUUCCUCCCAAUCUUAGAAACCGAUUAUUCCCUCUCCGAUUCACCCUCCUUCGAUUUCGACGACUCAGAUCUCUUCAACUCACCCCCAUCCAACGACUCACACUCCUUCCGUAAAACCCGUCACUCUUCACGCUAUUCCAAAUCUUCUGUUUCCACCUCUCUUCGUCCCGCGUCUCUUCCGGUCAACGUUCCCGACUGGUCAAAGAUCUUAGGCCACGAGUACAGAGGGAAUCGGAAAAUAGACAACCACCGCGAUGACGAUGAUGACGGCAGCGAUGACGAUGACGGUGAACGUGGUGGUGCCGGUGGUGGGAGAGUGCCGCCGCAUGAGUUUCUUGCGAGGACGAGAAUGGCUUCGUUGUCUGUGCACGAAGGAGUAGGGAGAACCCUGAAAGGACGCGAUCUGAGUAGGGUUCGAAAUGCAAUUUGGGCCAAAACCGGGUUUCAAGACUAAACCGAUCUACCAAAAUAUAACAAUCAUCAUUCAUCAAUUUUUAUUAUCUUUUAUCACAUUUUUGCUUUUAUUUUCUUAAUUAAUAACUAGCGCUUUUCACCAACUCUUCAUUUUUUGUUUAUUACAAUCAUUUUACAUGUAUGAGAUGCGGAUUAUUAUAUCGAAAUCUGAUUUUCCGAUUUCCGUUUUGAGGAAUUGGAGUUCUGAACUGUGUAUUGUGAUCAUAACAUGAAAAUGGGUUAGGGUGGGUCCAUUAGUAGGAGGAGUAGUUCAAUCAUUGAACUACUCCUAAACCCUAAACCUAAGGCUAUAUGAACUCUACUUUAGAAAGUAAAGGUAAAUACAAAUUUUCGAGAUAUAAUUA